UAAGAAAUAAUGCAUUUUUAGUUUUUACCUAUGCCCUACUAAUGUUUCAAACAAGUAAAAAGCACGUUAGACGAAGAAGAACAGAGAAAAAACAAAAUAAGCAGUUUUGUUUCAAAACUUACAACAAUGACGAAAUUGUUCAAAAGAAAUUUUCAUUUAUUUAUAUUAGGUCAGUUUUGUGGUAAAGACUAAGAAGACUUUACACUUGAAGACUACACAACGAAUGGAUCAAAAUAUUUUGAAAUAUUUCAACAUGAACGUGUUUGUGAACCACAUGGACAAAUACAAAUGUUCCAAGAGCCAAAAUGUUUAUAGAAAUGAUUAUUUCCGGUCAAUGCGACUAAAAUGAGCACGUGUCUUAUAGGAAGGGAUCGAAGUGUGACGACGGAUGGCAGCGGCGGCUCGGAAUCCCGUCAUCAGUGUUGGGCCG
Molecule: long non-coding RNA, 430 nt
Organism: Aphis gossypii (cotton aphid)
Lineage: Eukaryota; Metazoa; Arthropoda; Insecta; Hemiptera; Aphididae
Exons: 4
Source: RefSeq, a predicted model, not a curated record